This 118-nucleotide small RNA is filed under the name Pan troglodytes (chimpanzee). RNAcentral's name for it is "processed transcript". Lineage: Eukaryota; Metazoa; Chordata; Mammalia; Primates; Hominidae. The record is from RNAcentral.
CUCUUUGUGUAUUCUCUGAAAGUCUGAAAACAACUGAGGACAACUUGAAGGACCCCAAAUUACGUGAACUUUUGGAUGUGGGGAACAUCGGGCGCCUGGAGCAGCGCAUGAUCACAGU